Long non-coding RNA from Anguilla rostrata (American eel), 533 nucleotides. RefSeq lists it as uncharacterized. The transcript has 2 exons. The record is from RefSeq and is a predicted model, not a curated record. NCBI's taxonomy places the organism in Eukaryota, Metazoa, Chordata, Actinopteri, Anguilliformes, Anguillidae.
AAAGUUUCUGCUAGUUGUAAUGUUCCCUGAGUGUUCGAAUUAUCAAACCAUUCCUUUGAGUUGAAUGUGUAAAAAAUCUGACAUUUUGAUCACUUUAUUAUGUUGAAUGUUUAGGUUGUUUGGGAACAUAAGAAGGGAAACUUGUGCAAUUGAUAUGCCGUUGACACUAAGUUUCAGUUUGAAAAUCAUUUUCAAAGUAGAUUAGUUAUGUCUCAAAAUAGUGUUUAUACAUGUGCUUAUAAAACUAAUCACCUUUCUUAUAGGGAUCUCUAUAGGGGUACCCUUCAAAAGCUGUUACCUUUCUUACUUUUCAGCUGCAAAUGUCAGUGGUCAUUGGGCAUUUCUUUCCUCAUUCCUAUCAGGGUUCCUAGGGGGAAAAUGGCUUUUCACAACCGGCUGACUCUUGGACAAAAAAUAUUACUGGUUAUUUUUUGUUUUCCGCUACUUCCUUUCUACCUGUGCUAUGCAUGUUGCUGUGCUACUGGCGAUGAAGAUGAAAAAGAUAAUGAAAAAAAUGAGGAAGACAAACUAGG